AACGAACGCUGGCGGCAUGCCUAACACAUGCAAGUCGAACGAACCCUUCGGGGUUAGUGGCGCACGGGUGCGUAACGCGUGGGAACCUGCCUUUAGGUUCGGAAUAACUCAGAGAAAUUUGAGCUAAUACCGGAUAAUGUCUUCGGACCAAAGAUUUAUCGCCUUUAGAUGGGCCCGCGUUAGAUUAGAUAGUUGGUGGGGUAAUGGCCUACCAAGUCGACGAUCUAUAGCUGGUCUGAGAGGAUGAUCAGCCACACUGGGACUGAGACACGGCCCAGACUCCUACGGGAGGCAGCAGUGGGGAAUAUUGGACAAUGGGCGAAAGCCUGAUCCAGCAAUGCCGCGUGAGUGAUGAAGGCCUUAGGGUUGUAAAGCUCUUUUACCAGGGAUGAUAAUGACAGUACCUGGAGAAUAAGCUCCGGCUAACUCCGUGCCAGCAGCCGCGGUAAUACGGAGGGAGCUAGCGUUGUUCGGAUUACUGGGCGUAAAGCGCGCGUA
This 498-nucleotide ribosomal RNA is filed under the name uncultured bacterium. RNAcentral describes it as "bacterial SSU rRNA". It matches the Rfam family "Bacterial small subunit ribosomal RNA", at positions 28 to 573 of the family's 1533-position model. The record is from RNAcentral.